UCUCUCUGUCUUUGAAUGUUAAACGAUAACUUUCCACAGAUCACAUACAAAAUACCUCAAGUUUUUAGUCCAUGUUUUCAUAACUAUUAAGGCUUAAUCUUCAAUUAGCCUCCAAGAAAUUUCUCUUAAGGAGGUCAAAAGUGAAAAAGAACUAAGAAAUUGCAAGUUCAAGUGGAGAAUCCACAAUAAACGCAACAAUAUUUCACUCUCUCCGGAAAACUUUUCUUAAGAGCCCACUCUUAUGCUUCCUUUUGUUGGUCUGGUAUUUUCCACCACCACAAAAAAUGACAAAAUUUAGUUCAUUUUGAUUAGUAUGCCACCACCGCUAAAUUCUCGUUCCAUUGCGCCAACAAAGCAAGUAGCAAUUCCAUAUUGGUACACUGCCUUGACAAGGCUCUUGUCACGAUAAAUGGCCGAGCUCAUGACAAACGUGUCAUAUAAAAAAAAAAAAGAAAAAAAAAAUGGGUUCUUGAACGACAGUCCUGAGAAUCUGAGAUGCUCAGCUUUAUAUUCGUAUCUUUCCUCCAAAAACCUGAAGUGGCACCAAUCAUAAAGAAUGUCAACUUAGAGAUAUAUCAUAGACGUUUACUAUUGACUUAUUGAUCAAUCACAAUUUAUGAGAGGAUCUUGUUAGUAUUGUUCUCACACAUUUACCUAGAGAUUCACCAUCCCUCCACCAAAGAGCCGAACAAAGAGACACGGUCCUAGACUAUUACACCACUAGUCUGUAUCUAUCUGAGCCAGUGACCAAUCUAAUAAUUUACUACAAACACAAGUCAGCUAGGGAGCAUUUUGUUUACCAUUUACCCAAGAUUCUAAAACUCUAAACUUAUGCAUAAGAGUAUAUUCCACUAAAUUGGACAGGCGUUAGUACAACUCAAGGGGACUGGAUAUUCUCUGAGCGCAUACCAAAAAACUAUAGCUUGGAAACUUAGACCAUCUCAAAGAAACUCUUUAAACAAGAAAUGCUCUCUAUUUUAGAGAGUCAAACCUUAAAAUCAUGUUUCAAGAGAUUCUUUAAAUUAACAUUUU
Molecule: long non-coding RNA, 1032 nt
Filed under: Olea europaea subsp. europaea
Lineage: Eukaryota; Viridiplantae; Streptophyta; Magnoliopsida; Lamiales; Oleaceae
Source: RNAcentral